CCUACGGGAGGCAGCAGUAGGGAAUCUUCCACAAUGGACGAAAGUCUGAUGGAGCAACGCCGCGUGAGCGAUGAAGGCCUUCGGGUCGUAAAGCUCUGUUGUUAGGGAAGAACAAGUACCGGAGUAACUGCCGGUACCUUGACGGUACCUAACCAGAAAGUCACGGCUAACUACGUGCCAGCAGCCGCGGUAAUACGUAGGUGGCAAGCGUUGUCCGGAAUUAUUGGGCGUAAAGCGCGCGCAGGCGGUCCUUUAAGUCUGAUGUGAAAGCCCACGGCUCAACCGUGGAGGGUCAUUGGAAACUGGGGGACUUGAGUGCAGAAGAGGAAAGCGGAAUUCCACGUGUAGCGGUGAAAUGCGUAGAGAUGUGGAGGAACACCAGUGGCGAAGGCGGCUUUCUGGUCUGUAACUGACGCUGAGGCGCGAAAGCGUGGGGAGCAAACAGGAUUAGAUACCCUGGUAGUCCACGCCGUAAACGAUGAGUGCUAAGUGUUAGGGGGUUUCCGCCCCUUAGUGCUGCAGCUAACGCAUUAAGCACUCCGCCUGGGGAGUACGGCCGCAAGGCUGAAACUCAAAGGAAUUGACGG
Molecule: ribosomal RNA, 587 nt
Filed under: uncultured bacterium
Lineage: Bacteria
Description: bacterial SSU rRNA
Rfam family: Bacterial small subunit ribosomal RNA
Source: RNAcentral